Long non-coding RNA from Cimex lectularius (bed bug), 822 nucleotides. RefSeq lists it as uncharacterized. NCBI's taxonomy places the organism in Eukaryota, Metazoa, Arthropoda, Insecta, Hemiptera, Cimicidae. The record is from RefSeq and is a predicted model, not a curated record. The transcript is spliced from 2 exons.
ACUUUUUUUUUAGAAAGGUACAGAAACAAGACACAAUAAGUAAUAAUAAUAUAAAACAAUUGAUUAAUAAUAUGAAUAAGUAGGGUUACAUAAAGCCUAUAGCCACGUGGUGAACGACUAAGCAAACGUUCGUACUAAAUCACAAGUAAAAAAAUACCAAAAUAUCAUGCGAUGCUGCUUUAUUAUUGUAAUUGUUUAAUUGUUAAAUUAAAAACGAAAGAAUAAUAUGCACAAUACUUACCAGAUUAAUAUUUAGUACUUUUUUCCCCGAUUCAGACCCAGUACGGGUUAAAUGGUCGACACUGGGAUCCGCACAGAGAAAUGGGCAGGACACGUUUACUCGGAGAAAAUACACAGUUCACUGCUAACUCGAUCGGUCUUCAACAUUACAAAUCAAUUUUCAUCUAUUUCGUUUAAACCUUUACAGUUUAUUAAAAUUACAACAACAAAUCAUGUCAGAAAGGUCGCAAUACACAGCAUCGUUAUUUCCGGAUUAAUCAUCAAAGAGUAGCAUAAGAAAACAAACUUCACUUCAGUUUCUAUUGUUAAAGAAUAAGAACAAUGAUGUCAGAAAACUGUAUUAGAUGUAUUGUAUUUGCAGAGGUUAACAAUCAUCAUUAGAAGAUAAAACCAAAUGUAAUGAAUAAAUCAUUUAUUUGAUACAACAUUUGUUGAAAGGAAUUGUUCACAUUGGGACUGGCCUUGUGUAAAAUUGGUAUUGGAAUGAUUUAAAAUAAAUAUCAUUGUUUUAACCACUAUUUCAUGUACAUGUCAAUAUAUAUAUUUCUAUGUUACAAUUUCCAAUAAACAUUACAUUAAAUA